UCCACCCUAUCUACCUACAGGUCAAUCAGAUUAACAGCUGAUACUAAUAAUUUUGCAGUAGCAAUACCAUAUGGCUUCCAAGAUGAUCAUCACUGCAGCUGCUGCUGCCCUAAUACUGUCAUUCCUUUUGCCGUCAGAGGUUGUUGGACGUGGGCACGCAGGCAAAUGCCGGGCUUGGCGCAACCAAGUUCCAGAAUGCCGCACCCUCAUAUCUUGCAUAAGGCGGUGCCAAGACGAGGGCAACAAGACCGGAUUCUGCGACUCCAACAAGAUUUGCAUGUGCACGUCGUGCUCGGACGAUGAACUACAGGUCGGUCAGAGAUCGUCGUCGCUUCUGCCGCCGGCACCGGAGCCAACCGGUGCAUGAGCAUGAUUGUAGCGCAGCAAUAUGCAUGUCAAUGUGAUGUGCUACCAUAUUGGGGAAUAAAUUGUGGUAGUGGUUUUGCAAUGGUAAUGAUUAAGAAUAAACUUUCAAACGUUUUCAUGCUGAA
Sorghum bicolor (sorghum) is the source of this 491-nucleotide long non-coding RNA. RefSeq lists it as uncharacterized. NCBI's taxonomy places the organism in Eukaryota, Viridiplantae, Streptophyta, Magnoliopsida, Poales, Poaceae. The record is from RefSeq and is a predicted model, not a curated record. The transcript is spliced from 2 exons.